AGCGAACGCUGGCGGCAGGCCUAAUACAUGCAAGUCGAACGCACCUUCGGGUGAGUGGCGGACGGGUGAGUAACGCGUGGGAACGUGCCCUUUGGUACGGAACAACUGAGGGAAACUUCAGCUAAUACCGUAUGUGCCCUUCGGGGGAAAGAUUUAUCGCCAUUGGAGCGGCCCGCGUUGGAUUAGCUAGUUGGUAGGGUAAUGGCCUACCAAGGCUACGAUCCAUAGCUGGUCUGAGAGGAUGAUCAGCCACACUGGGACUGAGACACGGCCCAGACUCCUACGGGAGGCAGCAGUAGGGAAUCUUGCGCAAUGGGCGAAAGCCUGACGCAGCCAUGCCGCGUGUAUGAUGAAGGUCUUAGGAUUGUAAAAUACUUUCACCGGGGAAGAUAAUGACGGUACCCGGAGAAGAAGCCCCGGCUAACUUCGUGCCAGCAGCCGCAGUAACAC
RNAcentral lists this ribosomal RNA (450 nucleotides) under uncultured bacterium. RNAcentral describes it as "bacterial SSU rRNA". It matches the Rfam family "Bacterial small subunit ribosomal RNA", at positions 29 to 526 of the family's 1533-position model. The record is from RNAcentral.